RNAcentral lists this ribosomal RNA (715 nucleotides) under uncultured Alphaproteobacteria bacterium. RNAcentral's name for it is "bacterial SSU rRNA". It matches the Rfam family "Bacterial small subunit ribosomal RNA", at positions 21 to 783 of the family's 1533-position model. Lineage: Bacteria; Pseudomonadati; Pseudomonadota; Alphaproteobacteria. The record is from RNAcentral.
GGCUCAGAGCGAACGCUGGCGGCAGGCCUAAUACAUGCAAGUCGAGCGCACCUUCGGGUGAGCGGCGGACGGGUGAGUAACGCGUGGGAACGUGCCCUUUGGUACGGGAUAACUGAGGGAAACUUCAGCUAAUACCGUAUGUGCCCUACGGGGGAAAGAUUUAUCGCCAUUGGAGCGGCCCGCGUUGGAUUAGGUAGUUGGUGGGGUAAAGGCCCACCAAGCCGACGAUCCAUAGCUGGUCUGAGAGGAUGAUCAGCCACACUGGGACUGAGACACGGCCCAGACUCCUACGGGAGGCAGCAGUAGGGAAUCUUGCGCAAUGGGCGAAAGCCUGACGCAGCCAUGCCGCGUGAAUGAUGAAGGUCUUAGGAUUGUAAAAUUCUUUCACCGGGGAAGAUAAUGACGGUACCCGGAGAAGAAGCCCCGGCUAACUUCGUGCCAGCAGCCGCGGUAAUACGAAGGGGGCUAGCGUUGCUCGGAAUUACUGGGCGUAAAGGGCGCGUAGGCGGAUGUUUAAGUCGGGGGUGAAAGCCCGGGGCUCAACCUCGGAAUUGCCUUCGAUACUGGACAUCUUGAGUACGGGAGAGGUGAGUGGAACUCCGAGUGUAGAGGUGAAAUUCGUAGAUAUUCGGAAGAACACCAGUGGCGAAGGCGACUCACUGGCCCGUUACUGACGCUGAGGCGCGAAAAGCGUGGGGAGCAAACAGGAUUAGAU